RNAcentral lists this ribosomal RNA (164 nucleotides) under Volutaria sp. CA-2016. RNAcentral describes it as "5.8S ribosomal RNA". It matches the Rfam family "5.8S ribosomal RNA". From Rfam's summary of the family: 5.8S ribosomal RNA (5.8S rRNA) is a component of the large subunit of the eukaryotic ribosome. The record is from RNAcentral. RNAcentral also lists the same sequence under 5 other names. Lineage: Eukaryota; Viridiplantae; Streptophyta; Magnoliopsida; Asterales; Asteraceae.
AACGACUCUCGGCAACGGAUAUCUCGGCUCACGCAUCGAUGAAGAACGUAGCAAAAUGCGAUACUUGGUGUGAAUUGCAGAAUCCCGUGAACCAUCGAGUUUUUGAACGCAAGUUGCGCCCGAAGCCAUUCGGCUGAGGGCACGUCUGCCUGGGCGUCACGCAU